AAUGCAUAUAAGCCAUUUACCAAAUGCCUGAAUCGAGUAUGAAGCAUCUGACAGACCUGAGGACACAGCAUCAUAAUGCUCGUGUCCAGCUUUGGAUUGUCCACACACCAGUAUUGUUAAGGGAAAGGCCAGCAUCAGCAAGCUAGUGACAAUGAGAAGAAUUGUCCUCCAUCUGUCAAGCCAACUGCAUCCCCAGACUGUAUCAGAUUUCUUCAUAAGGACAUCCGAAAUGAGGCUCCAGAAACUCAAACCUAGAGUCCGGUCUGCAGCUCUUCAAUUUCACAAACAGAGCCUUCUUCACGUCGCAGGUGAAAUAGCGCGUGCCCCUGAACGUGCCAUCUGUACAGCCCGCACAUUCAUCCUCC
Long non-coding RNA from Microtus oregoni (creeping vole), 365 nucleotides. RefSeq lists it as uncharacterized. NCBI's taxonomy places the organism in Eukaryota, Metazoa, Chordata, Mammalia, Rodentia, Cricetidae. The transcript has 3 exons. The record is from RefSeq and is a predicted model, not a curated record.